UCCACGAAAAUGACAUCAAGGCAUUUACCAGCGUCGACGGCAGCUACCCACUUCUCUCUGGCUACUAGGAGAUUCGAUACACAGGAACGUCCUUCCUGGAAACCAUGCUGAGCAGCAGUUAGCACGUCAAGCUUGUUCAGGUAGACGUCCGGUUUCCAAUGAAAGCUGGAAUAUGUGUCGGACGGGUUCUGCAAUAUGCUCGACAAUAGUUCUGAGGAAAGCUGGGUGCAUCUCAUCUGGUCCAGGAGAGGAGUUCUGCCGUAACUCCAGAAGUGCUUUUAUAACAGAUUCUCGCUCAAAUACAAGGUGAUGGAAGCCUGAGUCAGGAACUGGAGUUUGGGAAUCCAGGAUCUGCGGCUCGACGGUAUACACAGAGGCGUAUUGUGAGCCGAGUGAUUCAGCUUUUUCGGCAUCCUGGAGAAGGAGAUCCUCAGAACCCGGGGAACGAAGGGGAGGUAUGCCACUUCCUGCCUUGGUCCUUCUUUUCAAAUAAGCGAACAGGAGCUUUGGGGAAGUCUUGGAUGACUCCGCCAGAUGCAGUUCAUAUUCGGUUCGUUUUUCCCGCUUCAUUUGUGUGCACCGAUUUCGAACUAUUUUGUAGCGAUCAUAGUCCA
Long non-coding RNA from Syngnathus typhle (broad-nosed pipefish), 614 nucleotides. RefSeq lists it as uncharacterized. The record is from RefSeq and is a predicted model, not a curated record. The transcript has 2 exons. NCBI's taxonomy places the organism in Eukaryota, Metazoa, Chordata, Actinopteri, Syngnathiformes, Syngnathidae.